CACUAUCACGAGAACAGCAUGGGAGAAACCGCCCCCCAUGAUCCAAUCACCCGCUACCAAGCCCUCUCCCUUGACACAUGGGGAUUACAAUUCAAGAUGAGAUUUGGGUGGAGACGCAGCCAAACCAUAACACUCAGAAUGUUUAACAGGGAGGAACCCUAUCUUCUGGGAGCUGCAAAAUAUGCUUGCACCAAAAAGUAAGCCAAGGAAACAGGGAACGAAGUAAAAAACCAAGCACGUUUCAUGUGCCUGUGAGAUGCCUGGAUUCUUCAAGAUGGCGAGACCCAAGGAAAGAAAGGUCAAGUUGUCGGCAAGUCACCUCAGGACUUUUCUGGCUACUUUAUGGAAAUAAAAUCCUGAGGCUGGCCCGUUAGGGAACUACUAAAAUUGUCCAAAUAAGAAAUGAUAGAGUGUUGGAUCAAAAGGCUUCAGAGUUCUACAUCGUAUCCUACUUACAGCCCUAAAUACCUGUUAACUGCCACCCCCUGGACAGAUUAUUACAGUGACAACAGAAAUAUAAGUCACAUAAGGAGCUGCUGAAUGCACUCAAGACUCAACAAUCUCCAAAGAUACUGGAAGGCACGAAUGGAAAUCUGGACUCUGACAACUGUCCUUAGCAUGUUAUCUUUUACGCCAAUGCUGGCCAAAGAGAAGGACUUAAAACGUUGUACUGAUCCUUACAAGAACUUAGUUUCCACUGUUUCUUUCCACUACUUUUGCUAAAUUCAAAUUGACCAACCAAUAGCUGCUUAACUAGGACCACACCUUGCUCUUCCUGCAUCUUAUCCCAUGAGCAACACGAUUUCAGUUUCCCCAUAAUUUCCAAGAACUUGCCAGUGAAUAAUUCUCGGAAUAAAACUGAACUAUGACUGUGAAACUGCCUUUGCAAAAAUCAUAACUGAGAAAAGAAGGUAAAAGAGAUGUGUCCUAACUGCCUUCAUCUUUCUUUUAACCUCCAAGCUGUCUUAUUCAUUGCUGGUGUAGGCUAAACUAAUUUUGGAAGAAACUUAGUUUAUGAUUUAACUUUGAAACCAAGAUAAUAGCAGCCCUUUCCCUAAACAAACCCCCUUCCUGCCUACAGCCUAGACUGGCUUUGCAGGAUUAACAAAAUAGCCACAAAAUUAGAAAUUAUGGCUUAGGAGUCAUGCAGCUGGAGGGUACAAGAAUCUGAACCUCUCCAAAUUGCUCCUGAGGAUAACAUCACUAUUGUAAAAUCUAAGAUCAGUGCUUCAGAUAUUUUGCAGACUCUGUGCUUAAAGGAUCAGCUGGCACUACCCAGGUCUUGAUAAACUGGCUCAGUUGGACUUGUGGCCUCUGCCUAGGAACUGAUUCAGCAUAAGAGGACAGCUUUGACUCCCUAUUAUUUUAUCUCUGACCUGAUCAAUCAGCACUGCCAACUUUCUGACCCCCUAUACACCAAAUUAUUCUUGAAAACCUCAGUCUCCAAGUUUUGGGAGAGACUGAUUUGAGUAAAACUCUGGUCCCCUGUACAGUCAGCUUUGCAUGAAUUAAACUCUUUCUCUAUUGCCAUUCCCCUGUCUAGAUAAAUCAGCUCUGUCUAGGCAGUGGGCAAGAUUAACCCACUGGGUUACAUGUGGCCUUUCCCAAUUCUAUCUUAUGAAAUAUUUAUCUACUUGGUCCCCAUAGUCAUCUUGAAAUGUGUUUCAUGUUGCAAUGUUUUAAUAAAGGCUUUAGCUAAUAUCUUUUGA
Homo sapiens (human) is the source of this 1709-nucleotide long non-coding RNA. The record is from Ensembl. NCBI's taxonomy places the organism in Eukaryota, Metazoa, Chordata, Mammalia, Primates, Hominidae.